CCCCGGACCCUCAGCCUCGGCCCCGGGAGCCCGGCCCGGCCCUCCCGCACCCACGGGGGGCGCCGAGCCCGGUGACACCCCCGUGUCGCCGUCCCGUCGGUCAGCCCCCCCGCCACCAUCACUGCCAGCCGCCGUGAGGGGGAAGGCGGGAGGUGGAAGAGCCCCCGGUCGGCUCCGUCUGCCCCCUCGGCCGAGAGGGAGGAGGAGACGUUUUAGGCAGCGUUUCUCAGAGAUUAAGAAAUACCCUGACAUGCUGUAGCCAAAAAGGAGGAAAAUCGCUCCGCUUGCUGGGGGGAGCCACAGGGAGCUUCUCCCAGUGGUUGACGUACUUCAUCCACAAGAGCAAGGAUUCCUUUCAGAAACUGGAAAACCCCGUGGAGUCUCAGGCAGCCCAGGAAGCAAGCGGAGCCAGAAAGGCAAUAGCGCGUCCCUUCCUCCGUCCUGCGGGUGCCUGCGCAGAGGGGCAGGAAGAAGGGGUGGCAACACUGCUCCAGGACAGCCAUUCCCUAGACAAAUCUCGACCGGCACCAGGCUGACACCCCAAGCUCCUUUCAGGCAGGAAUUGUUUACCCAUCACACUAACAAUUUCAGCACUGUUGACCAGGGCUGGACCCAAACCAAUUCCAUAUUCUGUAUUCUGCUGCCAUCCCCCUUGGCCAUCCCCUCCUAUUUGGUGAAAAAUUCCAGAGAGGAGCCUGUGGAAACUCUGUCCAUAUGACCAGAACGUGGCAUCCGAGAUCAGACAUCAUUGUAAAGGCUGGGAAGAUGGUCUUUAUUCUCUCAAGACACUUUCCCUCAGGUUUCUGGUGGGAUCUGAGUUAAACUUUUACUGUUCCAGCAAGCUGUAUGCUCUGUAUUCUGGAGGGCAAGCAGGCUGAGAUCUUGGCACCAGUGCUGUUCAACAGCGCACAGAGAAUGCUUUGAUUGAUUUAUUUGCUGAGCGCUGUUUUUUUUACCUGGGGUGUACUACCCGCAGACAUUUCCAAUUCCGCGCAGCACAGGCGUGUGCAGUGGAUGAGUUUUCUGCCCAGCUGUGUCACAGAGGCUCUGGGCUGGCUCAGGACGUCAUGCCGAAUGUGGUGCAUUCACAGGGUGAGAACUCUGGGUUCAGCUCUUCUCGCUCAGGGCCAGCAUAAACUGGGAUGGAAAAGGGGCACAGCCAGCAAGAAACAAUUUGCCUGACCCCACAGCAGGCUCCCUGAGCAGCCUGCACCCCUUUCCUGGGGUGGAAGGGGCAGGGUACGUGAGCCAAACACCGGUGUGGUCUCCCUCAGAAAAACAUCGAGAACAAAAUGAUGUCGCUCCCUCUUGUGAUCACACAACGAAGCAGGGACCAUACAACCUGUUGGUCUUCUUCGUAAGUCCCUUUUCAGGUCCUUGUCCUUUUAUGUAUCUCAGACCAUUAAAAUCACAGCAAUUUGAACAGUUAGGUAGUUAAAACCAUAGAGAAGUUUCCGGUCACAGUCAUCUUCUCUCACCUUUAUCUGACAGAAUGAAAGCUAAAUGCACAUUAGAUCAUACAGACUGAAAUGUAUUGAGUUCCUUCAGUCUUUACAACGUUUUGUUUCAAGGUAGUGCUGGUGGAGAACGGCCCGAGCCAGAUGUGGGGGAAGCACAGUGCAUAGGUCAGGAUGGUCGCUUUUACUGUGGGGAAUCCAAAAUUCUGCAGGAUACUUUUUAAAAUAACUAGGGCAAGUAAACACUAGCAUGAACCAGGAUUUCUAUCUGUACCUCUCUAUUUAGAGGAAAUGAAUGCCAGUUAUUCACUGAGCAUAUAGUCAUGCUUUGGCAUUCAUGUACUAACUGAGUUUGGUGAGGAGUCUGUAUUUGUGGUAUUAAUUGGCAGGUUUUUUCCCUUUUUAGGACACAAGUCAGUAUUUCUCAUGCUCAGUAACACAUGCAGAAAUUAAAUCCCAAAAUUUUAUUAUUGGGAUCAGAUCAAGGAUCAGAAAUUAUAGGGAUAAGAUCAAACUGCUGUAAGAUUCUGAAAUAAAAAUUAUCUGCCUUUUUAUUGGGGUGCAUGGUAAGUUUGCACUGCGCAUCAAAAAAAAAACCAGUUGUCUACUGGACAUCCUUUUAUUCCAUUUAAGAGGCAAAGUCCUUAGUUUGGCGUUUGAAUCUCGCAGACUACUACUCUGCAAUAAAUAUGCCCAGUCGAGUUCUACAAGAAGUCCCAGAAGUCCCAGUGACUUCAGCAGGAACUAGAAGAGGCCCUCUGUGUACCAGCACCAUUGUUCUAAAGUAGUGAUUUCUGACACCACAAAAUAAGUUGUUUGUCAGGGAUAUUAUUCUAUUAAUUGUUUCUUAAGCUUUACAAAGGCACGAUGGAAGGAAAAUGUUCCUGUUGCCCCCCCUUCCAUAAGAAGCUCCAUUGUGUUUGUAAUUCGUCUGCUUGUAAGCUGAGGAUUUACACCGUCCAUUUUUAACAUGUUUUCAUCUACAUUGGUUUUAUAAGCUUAAAUAAGUUCCCAUCUGCCAAGUGCUUCCAAAGACCGUUGGCGUUGAACCAAUUCAAGAAGCUUGCCAUGAAGAUUACACACCAGUUGUGCUCAUUCAAAACAAUGACUUCUGACCACUGCACCAGAAGAAAAUAGUCUCAUUUAUUGUCUCAUAAUCAUGCGUCUCUGCAGUGCUAGUUCCACUUUUGCCAACGAGAAGGGUGCUCCUUUGAUAUUCUACAAAUAUUUCAGCUCAAUCUCCUUAACACUGUGCAGUUCUUUGGCUCCUUAGGUUUGGUUUGGUUUUGUUUGUUGAAAGCUCUUGUUUCAGUUUGGUGUCUAAAGAAAACAAAGCAGUGUUGCUUGCAUUGUUAAAGCCAAAAGUAGGGCCACAGAAAAAAUGUUCUUCUUGGAAGAUUUUGUAGAUUGGUAUUCAUGAAACAGCUGGAGAUGAAACAUACAAUGCUAAUCCUGUCCAGUUGCUCCUGGUCAUGUUGCACAUUCAGGAAAUUCAUAAUUAGGUGGUUAUAUCCCCAGCAUUUCCCCUGCAGCACUCUUUACAACUAGCAAUUUAUCUUCUUUCUUGUCAUUAAAAAAAAAAAAAAACUACAAAGGAAAAAGGGGGGGAGAAAAUACAAGGAGGAGUAACUUAAAAUAUGCUUAAUAGUUUCUGCCCUCUGUAAAAAAUUCAGAUGUUGUCAUUUCUGUACGUACCAGUAAACUUACACUGAUCCAUUGCCCUUUUCUAUCACAGUAUUUUUCCUCUGUGCUGUAUAUCCUUCCUACUCACAGAAUUUAUUUUUCCUGUUAUUUUUUUUUCUUUUUCC
Molecule: long non-coding RNA, 3265 nt
Organism: Cygnus olor (mute swan)
Lineage: Eukaryota; Metazoa; Chordata; Aves; Anseriformes; Anatidae
Exons: 3
Source: RefSeq, a predicted model, not a curated record